Molecule: long non-coding RNA, 526 nt
Filed under: Gossypium raimondii (Peruvian cotton)
Lineage: Eukaryota; Viridiplantae; Streptophyta; Magnoliopsida; Malvales; Malvaceae
Description: long non-coding RNA (GRAI_LNC001492)
Source: RNAcentral
CGGGAUUACGACGCAGAUAGGGUGAUUGAGGAGAAGGUUACGAUAAGGGUGCUGUUUUGAAGGGAAGAAGGGAAUGGGGAAGAGAGGGGGAGGGUGUGGGCGUGGCGUGGGGAAAAAAGAGAAGGCAAAUGGGGAAGGGAGAAAAGAGAAAGUUCGGGGUUGAAAGGGGAAGGGCGAGGGCGAUGGUGAUGGGGUUUGGUAUGGAGGGUGCCCGACAACGGUGUCCGGAAAAGGGGAUGCCAACUUGGGUAGAGCACUAACUAGGGUUAGGUUGGAGUUUUGAAAGUAAGAAUAAGACAAAAAAGAAGAGGGCUAGGGUUUAAAUACAGUGUAAGGGCCUGUGUUGAGCUACAUGAUUGUGUCACACGGCCUCGGACACGCCCUUGUGUCCAGGCCAUGUGGCACGUACGAUCGUGUACAAUGUCAUGUGUGAUUUCCUUCGCUUCUUCCACGCACGUGUGCGAGGCCGUGUCUCCCACACACCUAUGUGUCCCGGCCGUGUCUUGAACACGACCGUGUCUCUUGC